GACGAACGCUGGCGGCGUGCUUAACACAUGCAAGUCGAGCGGUAAGGCCCUUUCGGGGGUACACGAGCGGCGAACGGGUGAGUAACACGUGGGUGACCUGCCCUCAGCUCUGGGAUAAGCCUGGGAAACCGGGUCUAAUACUGGAUAUGACUCCAUGACGCAUGUUGUGGGGUGGAAAGCCUUGUGCGGCUGAGGAUGGGCCCGCGGCCUAUCAGCCUGUUGGUGGGGUGAUGGCCUACCAAGGCGACGACGGGUAGCCGGCCUGAGAGGGCGACCGGCCACACUGGGACUGAGACACGGCCCAGACUCCUACGGGAGGCAGCAGUGGGGAAUCUUGCGCAAUGGGCGAAAGCCUGACGCAGCGACGCCGCGUGAGGGAUGACGGCCUCGGUUGUAA
This 397-nucleotide ribosomal RNA is filed under the name uncultured bacterium. RNAcentral's name for it is "bacterial SSU rRNA". It matches the Rfam family "Bacterial small subunit ribosomal RNA", at positions 28 to 428 of the family's 1533-position model. The record is from RNAcentral.